CAUUCUAGUUAGCACAUAUACAGUGAAACUGCGAAUGGCUCAUUAAAUCAGUUAUCGUUUAUUUGAUGAUACCUUACUACUUGGAUAACCGUGGUAAUUCUAGAGCUAAUACAUGCAUAAAAGUCCCAACCUCUGGAAGGGAUGUAUUUAUUAGAUAAAAAACCAAUGCCUUCGGGCUCUUUGGUGAUUCAUAGUAACUUAACGAAUCGCAUAGCCUUGUGCUGGCGAUGGUUCAUUCAAAUUUCUGCCCUAUCAACUUUCGAUGGUAGGAUAUAGGCCUACCAUGGUUUCAACGGGUAACGGGGAAUUAGGGUUCUAUUCCGGAGAGGGAGCCUGAGAAACGGCUACCACAUCCAAGGAAGGCAGCAGGCGCGCAAAUUACCCAAUCCCGACACGGGGAGGUAGUGACAAUAAAUACUAAUACAGGUGGUUUUAUGCCUCUUGUAAUUGGAAUGAGUACAAUUUAAAUCUCUUAACGAGGAACAAUUGGAGGGCAAGUCUGGUGCCAGCAGCCGCGGUAAUUCCAGCUCCAAUAGCGUAUAUUAAAGUUGUUGCAGUUAAAAAGCUCGUAGUUGAACCUUGGACCUGCCCAACCGGUCUACCUCACCGUAUGCACUGGUUUGGUCGGGUCUUUCCUUCUGGCAAACUGCAUGCCCUUCACUGGGUGUGUUUGGGAACCAGGACUUUUACUUUGAAAAAAUUAGAGUGUUCAAAGCAGGCAUUAGCUCGAAUACAUUAGCAUGGAAUAAUAGAAUAGGACGUGUGGUUCUAUUUUGUUGGUUUCUAGGACCACCGUAAUGAUUAAUAGGGAUAGUCGGGGGCAUCAGUAUUCAAUCGUCAGAGGUGAAAUUCUUGGAUCGAUUGAAGACUAACUACUGCGAAAGCAUUUGCCAAGGAUGUUUUCAUUAAUCAGGGAACGAAAGUUAGGGGAUCGAAGACGAUCAGAUACCGUCGUAGUCUUAACCAUAAACUAUGCCGACUAGGGAUUGGGCCAAGUUCUUUUUUGACUCGCUCAGACCUUACAAGAAUCAAAGCUUUGGGUCUGGGGGGAAAUGGUCCAAG
RNAcentral lists this ribosomal RNA (1062 nucleotides) under Legaliana limnaea. Its description in RNAcentral is "SSU rRNA". It matches the Rfam family "Eukaryotic small subunit ribosomal RNA", at positions 56 to 1135 of the family's 1831-position model. The record is from RNAcentral. Lineage: Eukaryota; Fungi; Ascomycota; Pezizomycetes; Pezizales; Pezizaceae.